RNAcentral lists this unclassified non-coding RNA (1067 nucleotides) under Rhagoletis pomonella (apple maggot). RNAcentral's name for it is "mitochondrial import inner membrane translocase subunit Tim21-like, transcript variant X3". The record is from RNAcentral. Lineage: Eukaryota; Metazoa; Arthropoda; Insecta; Diptera; Tephritidae.
GAAAAUAUGGCAGCAACUAAUGGAAUCAGCUGAUUGUGGAACCUAUAUUUUUACAGCUGACUUUAAUUUUAUUUAUUUGGGAUAUUCUAAUUUAGCUCGUAGGCAAAUAAAAGUUUUAUAAUCGCAGUUUUAUAAAAUAUAAAACUUUUAAUUACCGAAAUGGCACAACUCAUAGUGCUACGUCAGCUGCUGCAUAAGAAUCCCAGCAUAACAUCAACAUUGAAGGUUAAAUGGAGCCGCAUGAUUGCGACGACACAGGCUCCCCUUUACCAAACGCGGAAGGAAGAUCCGAAUGCCAAUCGCACUUUACAAGAAACCACUGGCCCUACUGAUAUAUCGACAAACGUGCGGCCUCUGGGUGAAAAAAUUAAGGAAAACACAAAAACUGCCAGUUAUACAGCGAUAAUUCUGGCUGGGGUUGGGGUGACCGGCAUAGUAUUCUACGCAAUAUUCCGCGAACUUUUUUCCAGUUCUAGUCCGAAUAAUAUUUAUUCCGACGCAUUCGAUCUAGUAAAAGAAGAUCCACGUGUACAGGAUGCACUAGGCGCCCCAAUAAAGGGAUAUGGUGAGGAAUCGCGGCGUGGUCGCAGACAGCGAGUUGCACAUUCAACCUUCGAGCGUAACGGCGUCUUACAUGUACGCAUGCAGUUCUAUGUUCAAGGUAUACGGAACCGAGGCACUGUGCAUUUGGAAUCACGAAAGACACCGUCAGGAAAAAUGGAAUAUCGGUAUUUAUUUGUCCAACUUGAUUACUACCCGCAUACAACGAUAAUAAUUGAAGAUAAUCGCGCUUAUGAUCCGAGUCCGGCGUCAGCAAAAAGCCUUAUCGAUUCUGAAAGUUUGGAUUUCACCUCUUUUCAGAAAAAAUGAUACAAAGUGCCAAUACUUAUGUCGAAUAAUUAAGCGUGAAAAUGUACAUAACAGAUGUAGAGAAAUCAUCUAAAUCAAUGGUAUCUUCUGCUAAGCAUUCACGCCCGUGUCAGUAAAGCUUUUUCCAAGAAAGAGAUGCCGAAGAAGGAUGCAAAAUAUAACCAAAACUGACCUAAUCGCUCCCAGACACUUAGGUG